CUUCCGGCGAGGUUUCCGUCGCAAUACUCGUCGGUCAUCUGGAGGAACACAGCGGCGCAGUGCAGCGCCGCCACGUUGUGAACCGUGAUCUCGAAGUUAACGCCGUAACAGAACUUCGCCGCUUUCUCAAAAGCUUCUGAUCCUCCAGGUAUGUCGGAAAUCUCUAUUCUUGUUAGGUCACUCUCCUCUGAUUCCAUUAUCACUUUUCUGACGUAGUUACUCUUCGCCGCCAGAAUAAACUGUAAUAACAUAUUCCAUACUUAAUUAAAUUUUAACACACAAAAUCAUGCACAAAGAAUAAUCACGAUCAAUCACGAACCACGAACCACGAAUAUACGAACAAGUUAUCAACAAAAUAUACAACAAUAUAUGUUGGUACCUUGUGGAGAGAAAAAUUGGUUUGUCCAACUGCAACAAUAACAUCGGUGGGGAUUUCUGGGGAGAAAACCCUGCAAUAACAAUUGAUACAUGAAAUUGAUUCUUAUAAGAACUAUAGCAUAAACACAUUUGAUUAACUGAUUCAUGAAGUUGUGCAAUGGAGAAGAAUGGAAUAAUUGAUUAAGCUUGAGAUUGAAAAUGAAGGAGUGGUGUGGGUGUUUACCAUUGCCCGGUUCUCUCCAUGGCAAGGGAGAAUCUGGUGGGGUUGGGGGUUGCCAUGAGCUGAUGUAGUUGGUUUUUUCGUGGUCUGAAUUGGAUUAGGGGUUUGAGAGUAACAGCAUGUUAUUAUAUGGUGUUCUUAGCUGUUGUUAUAAGGGGAUUUUUGAUCCCUGUUAUGAUUGUUAUCUUGUCAUGAGUUGAGUUUGUGACUGUGGUCCAUGUCUGUCAUGUUUUCUUUUUCCUCACUUGUUGUUAUCUUAUUUAUCCUUCCAUUAAAGUGAUUCCUUUUUGAGCUGAGAGUGUCAUACUUACCAUAAAUCUUUAGGACAGUUCAUAUUUUUUUUUUAUUCGAAAAGGGAGUAAGACUGUUAAUAGAUAUGAAGAGAAAAAACAAAAGUGAGCAUGCAUGUGAUCAAAUAGUUAAUUUGACAAGAUAAGGGAAAAAAGUAAAUUAUGAAGGUGCUAUAAAAAUGGGUAACAUAUGAUUUUUGCCCCAUCAAAAUAUUUUACAACAUUAAUUUUAGUUUCUAUAUAAAAAUUUAAUACUUUUACUCCUUAUUUACUUAAAGUAAUUUUAGUUCUUCAUCAUGGACUAAAAGCAUAUGUUUUUACCUUCUAAAUGAAUAAAAGAAAUAAAAAUAUAUUAAAUCUUUAUAAGGACUAUAAUUAACAUUAAAAAAAUAUUUAGAGAAACUAAAACACACUUUAUCCUAUAAAAAUUUAUUAUAUAGGAUAAUGGUGUCUUUAAUUUUCCAAUUUUAGAAAACAUUAUUUGGUGAUUCAGAUAAUAAUUAUAAUCUUAAAUAAUUUCUACGCAACAUCUAAUUACGUAUUAUUAAUUCUUCUUCAUAAUUGUAACUUGGAUAGAUGUCACAUAAAAGAUUAAAAUCAUUAACACAAAAUAGUGUAAGAUUAUCUAAUAAUUUUUCAGUAUGUAUUUUAGUUAACGGUCACAGUCAGGGACACAAUAUUCAGCAAUAAGUCCGAUGCUAGGUGCAGCUUGUGAGAAGUAACCAUUUGCCGUUUUGAACUCAACGCAUGUUCAUACUUCAUAGGCUAUGGACCGCAAAGCCGAACCAUACGGUUAAUCCGCUAGCUAGCUGCUUCCAUGCAAGUGGGAAGUUUGAAAUUGACAUUUAACAACGACAGUUUUUUUGGUAGCUACUCAAAAUUUUUGUUCUGCUCUUUGACUGAGGUUAUCUUACUUUCUUACCUGUUUCCAUUUUCUUCAAUCUGCAUUAAUUUUCCGUUUUUAAACUUACAGAAAUUGAUUCUUUAAAGUUUAGGUUUAAUUCCGGCGUGUAGCUUUUCUUCACAUAAUUUUGCAUAUGGGAGCUUGGAAAUUAAAUGAUACAGUUUGUUCAAUACUGCUUGCCUAAAUUAGAGUACACACGGGCUGGUUUACUAGUUAUUA
RNAcentral lists this long non-coding RNA (2011 nucleotides) under Glycine max (soybean). RNAcentral's name for it is "long non-coding RNA (GMAX_LNC000456)". The record is from RNAcentral. Lineage: Eukaryota; Viridiplantae; Streptophyta; Magnoliopsida; Fabales; Fabaceae.